This 760-nucleotide ribosomal RNA is filed under the name Bacillus stratosphericus. Its description in RNAcentral is "bacterial SSU rRNA". It matches the Rfam family "Bacterial small subunit ribosomal RNA", at positions 75 to 820 of the family's 1533-position model. The record is from RNAcentral. Lineage: Bacteria; Bacillati; Bacillota; Bacilli; Caryophanales; Bacillaceae.
GGAGCUUGCUCCCGGAUGUUAGCGGCGGACGGGUGAGUAACACGUGGGUAACCUGCCUGUAAGACUGGGAUAACUCCGGGAAACCGGAGCUAAUACCGGAUAGUUCCUUGAACCGCAUGGUUCAAGGAUGAAAGACGGUUUCGGCUGUCACUUACAGAUGGACCCGCGGCGCAUUAGCUAGUUGGUGAGGUAACGGCUCACCAAGGCGACGAUGCGUAGCCGACCUGAGAGGGUGAUCGGCCACACUGGGACUGAGACACGGCCCAGACUCCUACGGGAGGCAGCAGUAGGGAAUCUUCCGCAAUGGACGAAAGUCUGACGGAGCAACGCCGCGUGAGUGAUGAAGGUUUUCGGAUCGUAAAGCUCUGUUGUUAGGGAAGAACAAGUGCAAGAGUAACUGCUUGCACCUUGACGGUACCUAACCAGAAAGCCACGGCUAACUACGUGCCAGCAGCCGCGGUAAUACGUAGGUGGCAAGCGUUGUCCGGAAUUAUUGGGCGUAAAGGGCUCGCAGGCGGUUUCUUAAGUCUGAUGUGAAAGCCCCCGGCUCAACCGGGGAGGGUCAUUGGAAACUGGGAAACUUGAGUGCAGAAGAGGAGAGUGGAAUUCCACGUGUAGCGGUGAAAUGCGUAGAGAUGUGGAGGAACACCAGUGGCGAACGCGACUCUCUGGUCUGUAACUGACGCUGAGGAGCGAAAGCGUGGGGAGCGAACAGGAUUAGAUACCCUGGUAGUCCACGCCGUAAACGAUGAGUGCUAAG